CCGCAUUAAUCGCUUCUGCGUUUCUUCCCACACAGGUAAACUAUCCGCGGUAAGCUGCUACACGGCGCGGACUACCCAAACGCGACCCGAGGAAACUCCGAAACGCAUUUCACAUUCCGAAUAGCAUUUUCAGAGGCGAAUUAUAUCCCGCCGGAACGUACCUACAAUUCAAAUGCCGGUUUAAACACACCGCGGCCCGGGAAUUUCAACGGUAGAUGGUCGGCAUUGAAUAGUUCCGAAAUAACCGUCGCCGAAUAUUCUUCUCUGGCCGACUCCGGGAAAGCCGGAGCGAAAAACAAAUCGGUAGCUAAACCAAAUUCGCCAGAUUUUUAUAUUGAAUCGCCGAAUAAACGCCGUACGUAAGCGGUCGUUGUAUUUCCAAGCCGACGGGGAUAUAAUUCCUAAUGUCCCGCCACCUCCUCCACUGCGCACGUCGCUGCCUUAUCGUAAUACAUUGCAAUCGUCCGAACGGCUGC
This is a non-coding RNA of Cinara cedri, 476 nucleotides long. NCBI's taxonomy places the organism in Eukaryota, Metazoa, Arthropoda, Insecta, Hemiptera, Aphididae. The record is from the annotation of a GenBank genome assembly.